AACUUGAUAGCCCAGAAGAGUUAGGGAAAAAGCGUAUCUGCAGGAUUAUCACGAAAGAUUUCCCCCAGUAUUUUGCAGUGGUUUCCCGGAUUAAGCAGGAAAGCAACCAGAUUGGUCCUGAAGGUGGAAUUCUGAGCAGCACCACAGUGCCCCUUGUUCAAGCAUCUUUCCCAGAGGGUGCCCUAACUAAAAGAAUUCGAGUGGGCCUCCAGGCCCAGCCUGUUCCAGAUGAAAUUGUGAAAAAGAUCCUUGGAAACAAAGCAACAUUUAGCCCAAUUGUCACUGUGGAACCAAGAAGAAGGAAAUUCCAUAAACCAAUCACAAUGACCAUUCCGGUGCCCCCGCCCUCAGGAGAAGGUGUAUCCAAUGGAUACAAAGGGGACACUACACCCAAUCUGCGUCUUCUCUGUAGCAUUACAGGUUUGGUUAAGUCACUGCUGUACUUCCUAUUGAUUGAGUCACAAAGAUUCUGUACAAAGACAUAAAACCUUUGAAAUAUCCAUGCCAACAUUAUAAGAGAAAAUAAAAGAACAAAACAUU
This 540-nucleotide small RNA is filed under the name Pongo abelii (Sumatran orangutan). RNAcentral's name for it is "retained intron". Lineage: Eukaryota; Metazoa; Chordata; Mammalia; Primates; Hominidae. The record is from RNAcentral.